AUACGGAGGAUGCGAGCGUUAUCCGGAAUUAUUGGGUUUAAAGGGAGCGUAGGCGGGAGCUUAAGUCAGCGGUUAAAUGGUGCGGCUCAACCGUGCCCUGCCGUUGAAACUGGGUUUCUUGAGAGUGCAAGAGGCGGAUGGAAUUCAUGGUGUAGCGGUGAAAUGCUUAGAUAUCAUGAAGAACUCCGAUUGCGAAGGCAGUCCGCUGGGGCACGUCUGACGCUGAUGCUCGAAGGUGCGGGAAUCAAACAGGAUUAGAUACCCUGGUAGUCCGCACGGUAAACGAUGAUUACCCGCUGUCGGCGGCAGACAGUCGGCGGCCAAGCGAAAGCGAUAAGUAAUCCACCUGGGGAGUACGCCGGCAACGGUGAAACUUAAAGGAAUUGACGGGG
This 392-nucleotide ribosomal RNA is filed under the name uncultured bacterium. Its description in RNAcentral is "partial 16S ribosomal RNA". It matches the Rfam family "Bacterial small subunit ribosomal RNA", at positions 523 to 918 of the family's 1533-position model. The record is from RNAcentral.